UAAUAUAGUGCCUGAUUUAAAAGGGUAGCUUUGAUAGAGCUAAUAAUGUAUUUUUAGAUACCUAUAUUAU
This 70-nucleotide transfer RNA is filed under the name Ovalipes punctatus. RNAcentral describes it as "tRNA-Ile". The record is from RNAcentral. Lineage: Eukaryota; Metazoa; Arthropoda; Malacostraca; Decapoda; Ovalipidae.